CCAGAUGUGGCCUGGGCGACCCAGCAAACAGCCUCCUCAAGGAGCUGCUGGCUUGUCAAGGCCAGUGAGACCCACCGUCAACAAAACAGGGAGGCAGUGCCCACCACCCAACUCUGGUGUGACGCCAAGCCAGACGGACAGAGCCUGCAGGACCCCCUCUCUGUCACACUCACACUGAAGUUCUCUGCACAGCCACUGCCACCUCCUGCAUGGGAAGGUCUCCUGCCUCCUUGCUUGCCUUUCCUCCCAGAACUAACCCUCCCCCAUGCAGGCUUCCUCUGUUCUCACUUGUCGGUGCCGGAAGGAAGGAGGGAAGCUGUACAGCCACUCUGGACGCUCCCACCUCCGGCUCCAUCGCACAGCCUCACUCUAAGCCUCCUUCCUGCAGGAGAACCACUCCCCUUGAAGACCCUGGAGGACUUCAGUGUCCGCACUCUCUAUGACAAGCUCGAGGACCAGAGCCUACACGUGGCCGCCCAGCUGAGCAAACACAGGAGCGAGGCACUGGCCUUCUAUAGGGGUGCCAGCCAGCAGCUCCAGGGGCUCAAGGACUUUCUCCAACACCUCAGCACAACUGAGUGGCAAGCUCUGGACAAGGGUGGAGACCCAGAGAUGGAGGCCACAGCUGCCACCAGGACAGACACUGAGCAGAGUGUGGAAUCAUGGGGCCACCACACUGCAAGUCUACCUAGGGAGCCCUGGCAGCAUCCUCUAGGCCGCACCCCCAGUGUCACACCCCUGGGCUUUCAGCUGGAACUUGACAGAGUGAUUGUGGCACUGGCAUCAGCACUUUCUCACGCACACAGGCAACCAGCUGGGGCCAACAGAAAGCUCUCAGCAGGACCUGGGACCUGGACAGCUUCCCCAGUGUGCUGCCAAAGGAGGAGGCACCGAGAGCCCAGGCUCUAGGUUGUGGAUCAUUGGGGCUGGACACAGGCAUGGAGCCUUUCCUGAGAUGCAGAGGAAGAUAUGGCAGGUGGAAAACACUUUGGAUGAACUGAAUGAGGAGUUCUUCCAGCUCACUGCUCAAGCCCUAGAACUUCAGAAGGAAAAGGACAAACCAGGUCAACUUCCCCCAAGUGAAGGCAAUACAUUUGUGGUAAGCCCAGCAGACUACCACCUCAGCUCCUGAGAUGUCCACAGAUAGCUGGGUCUCACGUGUGGGGCCCACAGAGUCACAGGACCCCAUAGAAAGGGUUGGGACCAGAAAGUCCACCAACCAAAGUUUGGUUUUGCCUGUUUGGUUUAGCACAUACUUCUAGAGACAGGGAGGACCUCUCAAUCAGCUUGGGCUUGCAGGUCUCUAAGUAAAUUGAUGGCUCGGAAAGACUGAGGAAGAGUAUGAAAAGGGAGCAAUAAAAAUAGCUGUUUAGAUGUAGCUAACUAGUAG
Molecule: long non-coding RNA, 1390 nt
Filed under: Felis catus (domestic cat)
Lineage: Eukaryota; Metazoa; Chordata; Mammalia; Carnivora; Felidae
Description: lncRNA (ENSFCAG00000050536.1)
Source: RNAcentral